RNAcentral lists this ribosomal RNA (249 nucleotides) under uncultured Flavobacteriaceae bacterium. Its description in RNAcentral is "partial 23S ribosomal RNA". It matches the Rfam family "Bacterial large subunit ribosomal RNA", at positions 1 to 266 of the family's 2925-position model. Lineage: Bacteria; Pseudomonadati; Bacteroidota; Flavobacteriia; Flavobacteriales; Flavobacteriaceae. The record is from RNAcentral.
AAUAAGUUAAGUAAGGGCGUAUGGCGGAUGCCUAGGCUCUCAGAGACGAUGAAGGACGUGAUAAGCUGCGAAAAGUUACGGGGAGAAGCACAUAUUUUAUGAUCCGUAAAUAUCCGAAUGGGGCAACCCGGCAUGCUGAAGCAUGUCACCUAGCAAUAGGGGUAAACCCGGUGAACUGAAACAUCUAAGUAACCGGAGGAAGAGAAAACAAAAGUGAUUCCGUUAGUAGUGGCGAGCGAACGCGGAUUA